CUGGCGUGCUGCGUUAGAAUUUUUUUUUUUUCUUCCUUUUGUUUUUCAGAGGUGUUUGACUCGAGAUAGGUUAAGAUAAUGAGUUGUACUUUAGUAUAUCAUCUUGAAUCGAAGGAGAAUGAUGAAGUCAAAUCCAUAGAAGAACGGAAAAGGAUGAGACAUUUUUCGAAAAAUAUAUUCAAACAAGCUUAUUUUCAGGGACAAUUUAAC
RNAcentral lists this long non-coding RNA (210 nucleotides) under Musa acuminata (dwarf banana). Its description in RNAcentral is "long non-coding RNA (MACU_LNC008812)". Lineage: Eukaryota; Viridiplantae; Streptophyta; Magnoliopsida; Zingiberales; Musaceae. The record is from RNAcentral.